RNAcentral lists this microRNA precursor (125 nucleotides) under Pelobates cultripes (western spadefoot toad). Lineage: Eukaryota; Metazoa; Chordata; Amphibia; Anura; Pelobatidae. The record is from RNAcentral.
GGUCCCCAUCCCAGUCCUCAUGGACCACCAACAGUCCAGGAUUUAUGUAUUUCCCUUUUUUUAUUCAAAUGGAGAUACUGACAAAACCUAAACUGUUGGUGGUCCAUGAGGACUGGGUUGGGGAA